RNAcentral lists this long non-coding RNA (436 nucleotides) under Brassica napus (rape). RNAcentral describes it as "long non-coding RNA (BNAP_LNC021431)". Lineage: Eukaryota; Viridiplantae; Streptophyta; Magnoliopsida; Brassicales; Brassicaceae. The record is from RNAcentral.
AAUAUGACCAAACCUAACAUAUUUUGAACGGUCCGUUAGCGAAAGUAACAUUGUAAAAUGUCAUUGUUUGUUACGUGGGGUUGUUUGGGUUGAUUUUUUAUUGUCUAAAUGGGCUUUUACGGUCCAAUUGAUAUUCGACCAUUAGAUUCUGUGUUUGUAGCAGCAGCCUUUAGGUUUGUUUUUUUAGCAGAGGCUAUAAUACCAGAGAACAAAUCAGAAGUUUUGAAGUUGACGACGACACUCUCCAUCUCUCCGGUGCCGAGUUUCUCGUCAACCUCCAUCAGAUCUUUUCGCCCUCCUUCUUCUUCUAUCUCUUCGUUCAUCUCAUUUGUCCCUUAAGUUUCCAGACUUGCCACACCAAGUUCCACAACCCCCAAUUUAGAAGAGUUUCAUACACCGGAGACUAUCCCAAGAAUCAACAACGGCGGGAUCAAAC